UUUUUCGUAAACAAUAAACAUAAUCAAUUAAAACCGUCGAGAGUAUGUUGAUGUCUCGUUGUGUACUAUCUAAUUCGUCAUUCUGGAUUGUAGAUCACAAAAACGAAAUAUGACUUAAAACUAAACCGUAAGUGUAAAUCAAGCGCGUAAAACGACAGCGGUGGAAAAAUCGAUCCCAUUUAUACACAGUCAAGAUUCACUGCUCACACUAAUACAAUUAAAAAUCAUUCGAGUACUGUUAAAAUAUAAACCUGCACAAUGACUAUUUCCAGUAUAGAAAUGCACAAUUGUGUAAUUCGUCAUUUGGAAAAUUCUCAUAUUAAAAUAUCGCCUGAGAACGAAUGGUUUAAGCAAUGUGUGGAUUUCUUCAUGUCAGAUAAUCCAAAUUGUGAUGCAAAAGAUUUAUCUUCUAUGGUAAUUGAACAAUUAAGUUUAUCUGAUUUUCAAGAAAUUGCAUUGUUUAGUUUACCAGCCAAUUUGAAUAAUUGUGACAAAAAAAUUUUAAGCGGAAAAUACUGUCUUCAGGUAAAUACUAUUCUUGAUGUUGGCCAAUCAUGUUAUUCACAAUAUAAUAUAAUAGUAAAAAGAGACACUAGUAAUACUGAAAUUGGUGAUAAUAAACCAGCUCCUUGGGAACCUAAAUCACAUAGAAUGUUAAAAAUGAUGUGUUCUGAUGGUCAACAGGAUAUAGUGGCUAUGGAAUAUGAGCCAUUGCAUUGUCUUAAAGAGCCAUUUAUCCCUGGCUUCAAAAUUGUAGUUAUUGGACCAGUCGAAUAUAGGAAAGGAGUGUUACUAUUAAAAUCUAGUAAUGUGCAUUUCAUUGGAGGUGAGGUUGAACAUUUGUUAAUAAAAAAUGCACCAUUAAACGUUUUGUGUAGAGCCCUAAACAAACCUGAAUUAGAAAAUCCGUACAUGUUUUCAAAUAUUGAAGUUGAAAAUACUGUUACGGACGUACAGGAACCACUUGAUAUUGCACCAAGACAAAUAGAAAAUGUUUCUUUAACUGGUAUACAAGAACAAGACCCUGGAAUUCUCUCAACUUGUACAAAUCAAAGUAAUGAUAACAAUCGUGUUGGAAAUGGAGUUAUUACAUAUGAUGAUUUUUUUGAUGGUGAUGAUGACGAUUUAUUAUAUUUGACUCAAGUGGCUGAAAUUGAAACAAGACUCACUCAAUCUAAUAAUGUAAAUUCUGUACCAUUACAAACAUUUAAUACACAUCAACAAAAUACAAAAGUCAACAAAACAAAAAUAUCAGCUCCUAAAAAUAACAAAAUAAUAACAAAUAAGAAGCCACUAGUCACUGAGAAACAGACUAAAAUAUCUGAUAUGUUAGGUCCAAGUACAUCAUCGACAUCUAGUAGAAAUUCAUUUGCUGAAUCUACUAGGCGUCAAAAUGAGAAUAUAAUAGACAACAAUAGUAUACCUGUUAAACAUGCGUCAGGAAAACGUAUCGCUAGUUCACCAGUAUACACAGAAACUAAAAGGCCAUCAAUUGAACUGCACACUCUGGAUGAUGAUUGGGGUGAUAUUGAUAUGGAUAUUGAUGUUUCAAACCCAUUGAUUAAGGUUCUAAAUUCUGCUUCUAUUGUUAAGAACUCAAAAAUACAAGUAAAACAAAAUGAAUGGAUAUGUUCUGGUAUUGUGAUGGAUGAAUCAAAACAUGAAGAAGUUGAGUUCUCAUCAGAAGUAUUGGAGCAAUUAAUUGGAAUUUCAUCCGAAGAAGUUCUUCAAUUAAAAAACAAUCCUUUAAACUGUGCUCCGCUAAAAGAAAAAAUUGAAAAAGGAAUUAAAGGGGCAUAUAGAAAAUUGCACUUAUUCAAAGGGCUUCAACAACCUUGUCGAACCUUGGUAUAAAGUUUAACACAUCGAACAGCUUACUAGAAACACAGCGUUUCUUAUACUUAUGCGCUGUUUUGUGUAGAUAAUUCGACGUGUACUUACCCAAAAAUGAGCAAACACAUUGAUAUCGAAUAUUUUCUUUAUGGUGGCUUCGUCGUGAGCCUCAAGAGGUUUACAUGGCAUAAUUCCUGCAUUAUUAACCAGAAUAGUAACAGUACCAACUUCGCUCUUGACCUUCUCACCAAGCUCUCUAACUUUUUCCAACGUCGACACAUCGCAUCUGAAAACCCAGUUACAAAAUUACAUUUACUACAGUUGUUUUGUGUACCCAACAAUUUUAAAUGAAUAAAAAUAAUUUGUUUGAAGAAAUAUUAGACAACACUUGCAUAUGGAUGAAGCUAGGGGAAGAGGACAUAAAAAACAUUCCGAAAGUCUUUUCAGAUAUCGUUUUCAAAUAAACAGAGGCGCCAUUCAAAACAAAUACAAAAUAAAUUGUUGUAAUAUAUAGAUAUUAACUAUAAUAUUAUAAGUCUUAAUUUGA
This is an RNA transcript of Rhopalosiphum padi (bird cherry-oat aphid), 2380 nucleotides long. It is a transcript of the gene named recQ-mediated genome instability protein 1-like, with no coding region annotated. The transcript has 11 exons. NCBI's taxonomy places the organism in Eukaryota, Metazoa, Arthropoda, Insecta, Hemiptera, Aphididae. The record is from RefSeq and is a predicted model, not a curated record.